Molecule: transfer RNA, 77 nt
Filed under: Nereida ignava
Lineage: Bacteria; Pseudomonadati; Pseudomonadota; Alphaproteobacteria; Rhodobacterales; Roseobacteraceae
Also listed under: 3 other names
Description: tRNA-His(gtg)
Rfam family: tRNA
About the family: Transfer RNA (tRNA) molecules are approximately 80 nucleotides in length.
Source: RNAcentral
GCCGCCUUAGCUCAGCUGGUUAGAGCGCUGGUUUGUGGUACCAGAGGUCGGUGGUUCGAACCCACCAGGCGGUACCA